AAAUGAUUAACUACUAGGUCGAACAAAAUGACCUCGAGUAGAACCCAUCUGACUUUUCAACCGAAAGUUGAAACACAUGGGUUUUCAACCCAAAAGACGUCUACUGAGAUUUGGAUCAUGUGGACUGGCCAGGUCCAACAUCAUCACCUCCCAGUCACACGGGAAACAUCGUCCCGAACUUGAAGAGCCAUGAACAUACUAUACAUAACAAAGCAUAAGUUCAUCAUGACAACUAAACUUAUCUUAAGGUUCCUUAUCCUAUUGAUCUCAAACCCCAAACCUCUCUUAAGACAUAUACACACAGACAUACGUACACAGGCAAAACACACUAUUCUUAAAAUCUAUCGUGUAGCAAAAGUCGAUUCGAUGUUCCGUCGCACUUGAACAUUUGAACGUAGAGACUAUGGUUCAACCUUUGAUGCAACGUUUACCUUGAAUUCGUC
This 443-nucleotide long non-coding RNA is filed under the name Salvia miltiorrhiza (redroot sage). RNAcentral's name for it is "long non-coding RNA (SMIL_LNC003473)". The record is from RNAcentral. Lineage: Eukaryota; Viridiplantae; Streptophyta; Magnoliopsida; Lamiales; Lamiaceae.